This 2217-nucleotide ribosomal RNA is filed under the name Entacmaea quadricolor. Its description in RNAcentral is "large subunit ribosomal RNA". It matches the Rfam family "Bacterial large subunit ribosomal RNA". Lineage: Eukaryota; Metazoa; Cnidaria; Anthozoa; Actiniaria; Actiniidae. The record is from RNAcentral. RNAcentral also lists the same sequence under 1 other name.
UCAAUUAAAUUAAAAAGAGGGACGAAUGGCGAGCUAGGGUGCACUAAUAAGACGGAAAGCCCGAAAAAACGAGGGAGAAGUUUUGAACUCGGAUGUCUUCGCGGAAACGCAAAGAAAUAAACUGGAAACUGAAACAUCUAAGUACCAGGGCCAAUUGGCACAGAGAAAUCAAACGAGCUUCCGUGAGUAGCGGCGAGCGAAAGCGGAAAAGUCUUCAAUGAGUUAAUAGUGGAAGAUAGGUGUCUACACAUCUAAGACUAAAUGUUAGUGCACACCGAAAGAGAGAGUACUGUGAAGGAAGGCUGAAAGAGACUUGAAAAGAUCUUAAAAUAAGUCCCCUUAAGCAGACAUAUUAUGUCGUACCUUUUGUAUAAUGGGUUCGCAAGGAAAAAUUUGGCAAACUUAAGUUUAGAAAUGAAGGUGUAGUGAAAUCAAGGGGGAGCUUCCUCUUCAAGUCAAAUUACCCGAAACCAAGUGACCUAGCCCUGGGCAGUUCAAAGGAACGAACCGUUGAUUGUAGCAAAAAUCUCGGAUGACCUGUGGCUAGGGGUGAAAGACUAAUCAAACUUGGAGAUAGCUGGUUUUCUGCGAAAACUAUUGAAGUAGUGCGUCCAAGAAACUUAAUUUUACAUGAUAAAGUUCAAUCGCUCGGAGAGGGAUUAACUCUAAAUGUAAAAAAUUAAGAUGGAUAGACAGACAGUGGGCGAUAAGGUCAAUUGUCAAAAGGGGUAAGCCCUAAUCAGAAGUUAAAGCCACAGAUCAAAGUCUCUUAUCAAGUGUGAAAGGGAUGUGGAAUUUAGACAAUGAGGAAGUAGGCUUGGAACCAGCCAUCUUUGAAAGAUGACGUAAAAGUUCACUCAAGAAAUUUUUCUAUUCCUAAAAUUAUGGUGGCUAAAGUUGAGCUGAAACUCUGAGGGUGAAGAUAAGAAAAUAUAAUCAUUUGAAAAUUAUUUGCCCGGUAGCAGAACGGACUGUAAUAUUGGUUCGGCGAGAGCCCAACCAUCAGAAGUGAUAAUGCGAACAUGAGUAAAAAAUCGUUGGAUCACUCCCCCAAGGCUUCAAUUACAAAUUGGGCUAUACAGCCCCUAAGAUAGUAGCCCUCUGGCUGCGUCAAUGGGUCUUAUAAAAAACGCACGAAGUGCCAGGAAAGAUUUAUAAAUUUUUACUGUACUAGUCUAACGCAAGUGGGGUGAAGUGAGGAGAGAACUUCUCUUAAGGAACUCGGCAAAAUUUGGGCUUCGACUGUUUACCAAAAACAUAGCUCUCUGCUAAAGCUAAAUGCUGAAGUAUGGAGGGUGAGGCCUGCCCAAUGGUUGUAUCUAAAAGAGUUGGCUAAGGUCAACUUCAUAAGGGCAAUUGAAUGGCCGCGGUAACACUGACCGUGAUAAUGUAGCGUAAUCAAUAGCCAAUUAAUUGUUGGCCGGUAUGAAUGGCGUUACGAAGGCCCCACUGUCUUAAGAGGACUCUCCAUGAAAUUGAAUUCGUAGUGAAGAUGCUACGUCCAUAUUGUAAGACGAAAAGACCCCAUUGAGCUUUACUAAAGACUUGCAUGGCUAAAAAUAAUUUAAUUUAAAUAAAAAGUUUAGAUAAUGUGGGAUCCGUUUCCGGUUAAUAAAACACCACUCUUUUAUUUUAAGAGAGCUAACAUCGCAGGGAUAAUGUAAGUUGGAUAGUUUGGUUGGGGCGACCACCUUUUAAAAGGUAACGAAGGUGAGCUUAAGGUCCGUAGUUAAUAGCCGGUGGCCUGACUGCAAGGGGGACGUCUCGAGCAGACACGUCCUUAGGGAUGUGGGCUAUAGUGACCCGUCAUCUUAGCGUGGAAUAGUUGACGAUCAACGAAUAAAAGCUACCAUGGGGAUAACAGCGUUAUAUCGUUAGAGAGUUUCAUCGACGACGAUGUUUGCGACCUCGAUGUUGAAUUGCGGCACCCUGGGGUGCAGCCGCCCCCAAGGGUUGGUCUGUUCGUCCAUUAAAGCCGUACAUGAUUUGAGUUAAAAGCGUGGUAACACAGCUUGGUUUCUAUCUACAAUAUGAAGAAACAUCGAUAUAAUUAUCUUCUAGUACGAAAGGACCGAAGAAUUAGCGAUCCUCUUAUUUUUACAAGUUACGAUCGAUCCAUUGGCCCCCUAGUCCGAGAUCUCACAGUUAAUCACUGAUUGCCUCUUAAGUGUGAAAAUUAUAUCGAACUGUUUGAUGUGAAGUAAAAUUAUAAUUAUG